GUUUUUUUUCUAGCAACACAUAUACUAAAAUUGGAACAAUACAGACAAAGAUUAGCAUGGCCACUCUACAAGGCAAGUACAUUUAUGAAUCAAGCUUCACAAUUAUCC
RNAcentral lists this small nuclear RNA (108 nucleotides) under Catagonus wagneri (Chacoan peccary). Lineage: Eukaryota; Metazoa; Chordata; Mammalia; Artiodactyla; Tayassuidae. The record is from RNAcentral.